UUUUUUUUUUAAGAUUUAUUUAUUUAUUCAUGAGAGAGACAGAGACAUAGGCAGAGGGAGAAGCAGGCUCCAUGCAAGGAGCCCGACGUGGGACUCAAUCCCAGGACUCCAGGAUCAUGCCCUGGGCCGAAGGCAGGCACCAAACCACUGAGCCACCCAGGGAUCCUCCCAACUACACAUUCUUAAAUGGGAGUGGAAGCAUACUGAGGGAAGCAAGAAGUCUCUCCUCCAUGCCCAAGUCACCAUUCUCAUAGCCUGAGAGUCUCUGCCACAGGACGAGUCCACAUAUGUCAUGCAGGAUUCACAUACAUGGGCUUCCCCACAGCCCAUAGGGCAUACACCACAAAGCACCACUCCAGUUCUUGGCACCUCCAGCAACAAGACAGUGAGGCCAUUGCACUCAUUCUCAGACCUGUCCAUCCUCACACUCUGCAGCAGCUCUUACAGAUCCUCUUCUGCCUCCAGCUGGCUGACUGCCCCAUUGGGAACCGAGGAUGUCAACAGGCCCACUUUGAUGUCAUGACCGAACAUCCCCUCAUAAGAUGAGCUGCAGAUGCUCUCAUUAAAUAUUCUAUUCUUGGGCUGCAGCUCAAGAUUGUUGAGCUUUGAUCUCAGGGUUGUGACUUCAGACCCCACAUUAAGUGUAGAGAUUACUUAAAAAUAAAAUCUUUAAAAAAAAUAAAACAACAACAAAAUUCUGUUCUUCAUCACUUGAACAAAGUGCAGCUCCCAGGUCCACACACUGGUCCCCUCUACCAAGUCACAAUAUUGUAGAUGUCUUGGUGGCCCCACUCCAUGCUGCCUGGGCUCUGGCUCAGAUGGUGCUUCCUGGUCAUGAUCAUUAAUCCACUCCACAUACCUCAUUUGCAAAGUAUCUUCCAUUUCCAGACUAAAGAAUAGAAAGGGCCCCAGAGAUGCAGAAGAUGUGGGGUGCAUAGAUGGCUUAGUCAGUUAAGUGACUGACCUGGACAUGGGGGCUCAGGUCAGGUCAUGAUCUCAGAGUUGUGAGAUUGAGCCCUGCAUAGGGCUCAGUGAGGAGUAUGCCUCUUUCGCUUUCCCCCUCUGCCCCUUCUUGGUUCAUGCUGUCUAAAAUAAAUAAAAUCUUUUUAAAAAGAUAUGAAUAUAUCUAGCAGACAUCUGUCCACAUCCCCAGCACUUUUGCUGGUCAGAAGCCUCCACUGGACAAAUUUGGUGGUGGGACUCUGGUAGACCAUGAUAAAUUUAAAUUGCAUUUCAAUACGGUCCACCCGGCACCAGCUCCUUGUCUCUACAAAUAUUAGUCUUCAACAUACAUUUCUUCACAGGAUGCAACUUGUGCUACCAGGGUCUGUAUAUCUUCAAGUACAGGAGUAUAGCUUCCUAUGUCACAUUCUUGUAGCUCUUCAGCUCUGCCAGCAUCCUAUGCUUCCCUCCAUGCCCAAUGCUAACAUGGGCCUCAUGCAGCAUAUCCUACAUGUUCUCGUUCUUUGACAUAGCAAAAGCCCACAUUGCCUUCUGACAGGGGGAAAAUCAGCAUUUCCUCAUUCCCAAUGCAGAUGACAAAUCACUUCAGUUGGUGGAGCGGGAGAGUAGAUCCCUCUUUUUAUUUGGUAUGUUUCACUUAUUCGAGUAUCUCACUGUACUUGUCACUUGUGAAACACAUGGAAUUGUAUUUCUCCUCUUUUUUUAGACAGUAAAAAGUUAAAACAGUGAUAAAACUGUUGUUUGGCAUCACACCCAAGAUCCUGUGAGAAUGGUGGGGAGCUGUGCUGCCUGGAAACUAACACAGGUACAGUCUACUGGAAAUUCUCAGCCAGGUCUCCCUGCCAGGGCAGGUGGACACUCACUGACCAGCAGGCUUGGAUUCCUAAAUGAAGAUGGGCCACAUGCCCCAUGGCCAACUAAUGGCAAGUGACCCUUCCUUUAUCUGACUAAUGUACCCAAGGGUCAUGUUUAAAGUCAGUCUCUCAUUUGACUCUGAUUCUACAUUAAGUGGUAUAGACACUCAAAUGGGAGAAGCUGACCAGCAACUUGGGAUCCCAAGAUAAACCCACGGGGGCCACUCCGAGGAGAACCCAGAGCUGGUCCAAGUAUUGGGGCAGAAGAGUUUCCUGCUCAGGUGCAACAGGUUCAGCCAGCAGGUGGUACUCAUUUCCUGCAUGUAAUCUGAGGUCAAGUCUGGGCAUGCCUCAGCCAGGUGUACAUAGGUGUGUAUAGAAGGCAGAUGUGAAAAGUGUGGAAGGAGCCUCGGUGCCCAUUGAAAGAUGAAUGGAUAAAGAAGCUGUGGUAUAUAUAUACAAUGGAAUAUUACUCAGCCAUUAGAAAAGACAAAUACCCACCAUUUGUUUCGAUGUGGAUGGAACUGGAGAGUAUUAUGCUGAGUAAAAUAAGUCAAUCAGAGAAGGACAAACAUUAUAUGGUCUCAUUCAUUUGGGGAAUAUAAAAAAUAGUGAAAGGGAAUAAAGGGGAAAGGAGAGAAAAUGAGUGGGAAAUAUCAGAGAGGGUGACAGAACAUGAGAAACAUCUAACUCUGGGAAACGAACAAGGGGUAGUGGAAAGGGAGGUAGGCAGGGGGUUGAGGUGACUGGGUGACGGGCACUGAGGGGGGCAUUUGACAGGAGGAGCACUGGGUGAUAUGCUAUGUGUUGGCAAAUUAAACUCCCCCCACCCCCAAAAAGAUGAAGAAGGCAGAUGUGAGAUGUGUGGGCAUCUGGGAUCCACAGCAAAACAUUCAGGCCAAAUUUAAACAAUAAACAAUCUCCUAAGCUAGCCCUCCCUCUCCCCACUCCUAUGGAAAGUGGAUAGGCUCAGGUAAAGGUUUUCUGCAGCAGGAACCCAUGGCUGGAAACAGACCACUCAUCUGAGGGCUUGUGUGUCUGGCAAUAAGGCCAAUCCACUCCCCAAAAUCCACAUCCUUACCCAAACCAGUCACAUUCCUGAAGGCUGCCUUCUGCAGGGCACUGGGUGGCCCCCAGUCUUCUUUUGUGGGAUCCAGAUUUGGCCUUUUCUCCAAAUGCCACCACCGUCUGGAAUACACCAUGUCCACAGGGAGAAGAAAGUCAAAGUGGCAUAGCAGGAGUAAAAUGGAAACCAGUAGAAAAGGAGUGCAAGGCAGGAAGAGCAAGGGAGACAAGAAGAAAGGAAGAAUUAGCAAUCAGUCCUGGCCACAGCCAUGUCCUGUGGGCCUAUCAAAUGCUGUUUUAAAUUGUAAACUGGUGCCAACAAUAACAACCUGGAUUUGGGCUUUCCUGACAGCGAUAUUUAGCCAUACCCAAAAGAAGCUGAGACCAGGCAACCCCAUCU
This 3282-nucleotide long non-coding RNA is filed under the name Canis lupus familiaris (dog). RNAcentral's name for it is "lncRNA (ENSCAFG00845000170.1)". Lineage: Eukaryota; Metazoa; Chordata; Mammalia; Carnivora; Canidae. The record is from RNAcentral.